RNAcentral lists this ribosomal RNA (253 nucleotides) under uncultured bacterium. RNAcentral describes it as "partial 16S ribosomal RNA". It matches the Rfam family "Bacterial small subunit ribosomal RNA", at positions 524 to 776 of the family's 1533-position model. The record is from RNAcentral.
CACGUAGGCACCAAGCGUUGUCCGGAUUUAUUGGGCGUAAAGAGCUCGUAGGCGGUUCGGUAAGUCGGGUGUGAAAGCCCGGGGCUUAACCCCGGGUCUGCAUUCGAUACGGGCAGGCUAGAGUGUGGUAGGGGAGAUCGGAAUUCCUGGUGUAGCGGUGAAAUGCGCAGAUAUCAGGAGGAACACCGGUGGCGAAGGCGGAUCUCUGGGCCAUUACUGACGCUGAGGAGCGAAAGCGUGGGGAGCGAACAGG